AAAACGACUCUCGGCAACGGAUAUCUAGGCUCUCGCAUCGAUGAAGAACGUAGCGAAAUGCGAUACUUGGUGUGAAUUGCAGAAUCCCGCGAAUCAUCGAGUUUUUGAACGCAAGUUGCGCCCGACGCCUUUCGGCCGAGGGCACGUCUGCCUGGGUGUCACGC
RNAcentral lists this ribosomal RNA (164 nucleotides) under Quercus castaneifolia. RNAcentral's name for it is "5.8S ribosomal RNA". It matches the Rfam family "5.8S ribosomal RNA". From Rfam's summary of the family: 5.8S ribosomal RNA (5.8S rRNA) is a component of the large subunit of the eukaryotic ribosome. The record is from RNAcentral. Lineage: Eukaryota; Viridiplantae; Streptophyta; Magnoliopsida; Fagales; Fagaceae.